This 1222-nucleotide ribosomal RNA is filed under the name Vibrio parahaemolyticus. RNAcentral's name for it is "partial 23S ribosomal RNA". It matches the Rfam family "Bacterial large subunit ribosomal RNA", at positions 176 to 1513 of the family's 2925-position model. Lineage: Bacteria; Pseudomonadati; Pseudomonadota; Gammaproteobacteria; Vibrionales; Vibrionaceae. The record is from RNAcentral.
GAGGCGAACCGGGGGAACUGAAACAUCUAAGUACCCCGAGGAAAAGAAAUCAACCGAGAUUCCGAAAGUAGCGGCGAGCGAAAUUGGACUAGCCCUUAAGCUUUACACGCGUUAGACGAACGGUCUGGAAAGUCCGACGAUACAGGGUGAUAGUCCCGUAGUUGACGACGUGUGUUCAGUGAAAUCGAGUAGGGCGGGACACGUGAUAUCCUGUCUGAAUAUGGGGGGACCAUCCUCCAAGGCUAAAUACUACUGACUGACCGAUAGUGAACCAGUACCGUGAGGGAAAGGCGAAAAGAACCCUUGUCCUGUGACUGCGUACCUUUUGUAUAAUGGGUCAGCGACUUAUAUUCAGUGGCAAGGUUAACCAUCUAGGGGAGCCGUAGGGAAACCGAGUCUUAACUGGGCGUUCAGUCUCUGGAUAUAGACCCGAAACCAGGUGAUCUAGCCAUGGGCAGGUUGAAGGUUGAGUAACAUCAACUGGAGGACCGAACCGACUAAUGUUGAAAAAUUAGCGGAUGACUUGUGGCUAGGGGUGAAAGGCCAAUCAAACCUGGAGAUAGCUGGUUCUCCCCGAAAGCUAUUUAGGUAGCGCCUCGGACGAAUACUACUGGGGGUAGAGCACUGUUAAGGCUAGGGGGUCAUCCCGACUUACCAACCCUUUGCAAACUCCGAAUACCAGUAAGUACUAUCCGGGAGACACACGGCGGGUGCUAACGUCCGUCGUGGAGAGGGAAACAACCCAGACCGCCAGCUAAGGUCCCAAAUUACUACUAAGUGGGAAACGAUGUGGGAAGGCUCAGACAGCCAGGAUGUUGGCUUAGAAGCAGCCAUCAUUUAAAGAAAGCGUAAUAGCUCACUGGUCGAGUCGGCCUGCGCGGAAGAUGUAACGGGGCUAAGUAGUAAACCGAAGCUGCGGCAAUAUACUUUUGUAUAUUGGGUAGGGGAGCGUUCUGUAAGCGGUUGAAGGUGUGUGGUAACGCAUGCUGGACGUAUCAGAAGUGCGAAUGCUGACAUGAGUAACGAUAAAGGGGGUGAAAAACCUCCUCGCCGGAAGACCAAGGGUUCCUGUCCAACGUUAAUCGGGGCAGGGUAAGUCGACCCCUAAGGCGAGGCCGAAAGGCGUAGUCGAUGGGAAACGGGUUAAUAUUCCCGUACUUCUUACAAUUGCGAUGGGGGGACGGAGAAGGCUAGGUGGGCCUGGCGACGGUUGUCCAGGUUC